UCUCAGACCAACUCUGUUGUAUUGGAGCCUUAGCCGGGUUGUACCUGAACACACCAUUCCCCUGCUUGCAAAGGUGUUGGAGGACCGUAUAGGUCGGUUACAUGGCCAGUUACAACGGUUACAGCAACAGAGGCUGAACUCUGGCAACCACAACGCUUCUCUUGACAUGUCUGUACUCAACUGUCUGCAUGAAGACAUCCACUGGCUCAUCCUCAUAUCAGCACAUGUCCUGACUGAAGAGUCUGAAGGCGAGACCCCCAUGAUUCCGUCCGAUGUCAUGAACUACUCAAUCAGCCAGUCACAGAACGUCAACGUCCAGACCACAUUGCAGGUCCUGGCGUCACCUGGGGAGACCCUCAGC
Molecule: long non-coding RNA, 361 nt
Organism: Haliotis rubra (blacklip abalone)
Lineage: Eukaryota; Metazoa; Mollusca; Gastropoda; Lepetellida; Haliotidae
Exons: 3
Source: RefSeq, a predicted model, not a curated record